UAGAGUUUGAUCCUGGCUCAGGAUGAACGCUGGCGGCGUGCCUAAUACAUGCAAGUCGAACGCACAGCGAAAGGUGCUUGCACCUUUCAAGUGAGUGGCGAACGGGUGAGUAACACGUGGAUAACCUACCUCAAGGUUGGGGAUAACAUUUGGAAACAGAUGCUAAUACCGAAUAAAACUUCGUAUCGCAUGAUACAAGGUUAAAAGGCGCUACGGCGUCACCUAGAGAUGGAUCCGCGGUGCAUUAGUUAGUUGGUGGGGUAAAGGCCUACCAAGACAAUGAUGCAUAGCCGAGUUGAGAGACUGAUCGGCCACAUUGGGACUGAGACACGGCCCAAACUCCUACGGGAGGCUGCAGUAGGGAAUCUUCCACAAUGGGCGAAAGCCUGAUGGAGCAACGCCGCGUGUGUGAUGAAGGCUUUCGGGUCGUAAAGCACUGUUGUAUGGGAAGAACAGCUAGAGUAGGGAAUGACUUUAGUUUGACGGUACCAUACCAGAAAGGGACGGCUAAAUACGUGCCAGCAGCCGCGGUAAUACGUAUGUCCCGAGCGUUAUCCGGAUUUAUUGGGCGUAAAGCGAGCGCAGACGGUUGAUUAAGUCUGAUGUGAAAGCCCGGAGCUCAACUCCGGAAAGGCAUUGGAAACUGGUCAACUUGAGUGCAGUAGAGGUAAGUGGAACUCCAUGUGUAGCGGUGGAAUGCGUAGAUAUAUGGAAGAACACCAGCGGCGAAGGCGGCUUACUGGACUGUAACUGACGUUGAGGCUCGAAAGUGUGGGUAGCAAACAGGAUUAGAUACCCUGGUAGUCCACACCGUAAACGAUGAACACUAGGUGUUAGGAGGUUUCCGCCUCUUAGUGCCGAAGCUAACGCAUUAAGUGUUCCGCCUGGGGGAGUACGACCGCAAGGUUGAAACUCAAAGGAAU
This 923-nucleotide ribosomal RNA is filed under the name uncultured bacterium. RNAcentral describes it as "bacterial SSU rRNA". It matches the Rfam family "Bacterial small subunit ribosomal RNA", at positions 1 to 910 of the family's 1533-position model. The record is from RNAcentral.